GCAGGAUAAAAACGCAAUGCGCGCCGCGCUAGAGCUGGUAGGUAGCCCAGCCGUCUGACGCAAGUCAGGUAAGUAACCCUCCCCUCCGGGUCGUCCAUUUCUGCGGG
Molecule: non-coding RNA, 107 nt
Filed under: human gut metagenome
Description: yjdF RNA
Rfam family: azaaromatic riboswitch aptamer (yjdF RNA)
Source: RNAcentral